Molecule: ribosomal RNA, 697 nt
Filed under: Sporothrix schenckii
Lineage: Eukaryota; Fungi; Ascomycota; Sordariomycetes; Ophiostomatales; Ophiostomataceae
Also listed under: 1 other name
Description: eukaryotic LSU rRNA
Rfam family: Eukaryotic large subunit ribosomal RNA
Source: RNAcentral
AUUUGGAGAGGAUGCUUCUGGCGCGGCGCCGUCCGAGUUCCUUGGAACAGGACGCCACAGAGGGUGAGAGCCCCGUACGGACGGACGCCUAGCCUCUACGAAGCUCCUUCGACGAGUCGAGUAGUUUGGGAAUGCUGCUCAAAAUGGGAGGUAAAUUUCUUCUAAAGCUAAAUACCGGCCAGAGACCGAUAGCGCACAAGUAGAGUGAUCGAAAGAUGAAAAGCACUUUGAAAAGAGGGUUAAAAAGUACGUGAAAUUGUUGAAAGGGAAGCGCCUGUGACCAGACUUGCGCCCCGCGGACCACCCGGCGUUCUCGCCGGUGCACUCUGCGGUGCGCAGGCCAGCAUCGGUUCUCCCAGGGGGACAAAGGCCGCGGGAACGUAGCUCCUUCGGGAGUGUUAUAGCCCGCGGCGGCAUGCCCCUGGGGGGACCGAGGACCGCGCUUCGGCAAGGAUGCUGGCGUAAUGGUCACCAGCGACCCGUCUUGAAACACGGACCAAGGAGUCAAGCAUUGGGGCGAGUGUAUGGGUGCCAAACCCGCACGCGAAAUGAAAGUAAACGCAGGUGAGAGCUUCGGCGCAUCAUCGACCGAUCCUGAUGUCUUCGGAUGGAUUUGAGUAAGAGCCUUACCGCUUGGACCCGAAAGAUGGUGAACUAUGCCUGAAUAGGGUGAAGCCAGAGGAAACUCUGGUGGAGG